This 260-nucleotide ribosomal RNA is filed under the name Schmidingerella taraikaensis. RNAcentral describes it as "partial Bacterial large subunit ribosomal RNA". It matches the Rfam family "Bacterial large subunit ribosomal RNA", at positions 2453 to 2712 of the family's 2925-position model. Lineage: Eukaryota; Ciliophora; Spirotrichea; Tintinnida; Rhabdonellidae. The record is from RNAcentral.
CGGAUAAAAGGUACUCCGGGGAUAACAGGCUGAUACCGCCCAAGAGUUCACAUCGACGGCGGUGUUUGGCACCUCGAUGUCGGCUCAUCACAUCCUGGGGCUGUAGCCGGUCCCAAGGGUAUGGCUGUUCGCCAUUUAAAGUGGUACGCGAGCUGGGUUUAGAACGUCGUGAGACAGUUCGGUCCCUAUCUGCCGUGGGCGUUUGAGAAUUGAGAGGGGUUGCUCCUAGUACGAGAGGACCGGAGUGAACGAACCGCUGG